RNAcentral lists this ribosomal RNA (500 nucleotides) under uncultured Glomeromycotina. Its description in RNAcentral is "partial small subunit ribosomal RNA". It matches the Rfam family "Eukaryotic small subunit ribosomal RNA", at positions 591 to 1092 of the family's 1831-position model. The record is from RNAcentral. Lineage: Eukaryota; Fungi; Glomeromycota.
CCAAUAGCGUAUAUUAAAGUUGUUGCAGUUAAAAAGCUCGUAGUUGAAUUUCGGGGUCAGUAGAUUGGUCGUGCCAUUGGUAUGCACUGGUCUUACUGGCUCCUCCUUCCUGAUGAACCGUAAUGCCAUUAAUUUGGUGUUGCGGGGAGACUGGACUGUUACUUUGAAAAAAUUAGAGUGUUUAAAGCAAGCUAACGCUUGAAUACAUUAGCAUGGAAUAAUGAAAUAGGACGUUCGAUCUUAUUUUGUUGGUUUCUAAGAUUGACGUAAUGAUUAAUAGGGAUAGUUGGGGGCAUUAGUAUUCAAUUGUCAGAGGUUAAAUUCUUGGAUUUAUUGAAGACUAACUACUGCGAAAGCAUUUGCCAAGGAUGUUUUCAUUAAUCAAGAACGAAAGUUAGGGGAUCGAAGACGAUCAGAUACCGUCGUAGUCUUAACCAUAAACUAUGCCGACUAGGGAUCGGAUGAUGUUAAUUUUUUAAUGACUCAUUCGGCGCCUUACG